GGGAAGGUGGCUCAGUGGUAGAGCGCUUGCCUUGCAUGCAUAAGGCCCUGGGUUCGAUUCCUCAGCACCCCA
RNAcentral lists this transfer RNA (72 nucleotides) under Dipodomys ordii (Ord's kangaroo rat). It matches the Rfam family "tRNA". Rfam says of the family: Transfer RNA (tRNA) molecules are approximately 80 nucleotides in length. Their secondary structure includes four short double-helical elements and three loops (D, anti-codon, and T loops). The record is from Rfam by way of RNAcentral. Lineage: Eukaryota; Metazoa; Chordata; Mammalia; Rodentia; Heteromyidae.